Molecule: long non-coding RNA, 1620 nt
Organism: Drosophila virilis
Lineage: Eukaryota; Metazoa; Arthropoda; Insecta; Diptera; Drosophilidae
Source: RefSeq, a predicted model, not a curated record
UCAAACCGAAAAUUUCUUUACUAAUUUGGAACAUUUUUCUAAAUUCUGCUUGAGCUUUAUAAAAAGCCCCUCGAUGGCAACAGCAGCCAGCUUAGUGGAAACAAAUUGAAUUAGUUGCAAGUCCACUAAUGUGGCUGACAACAAUAACGUGACUUGGGUGCACAAUUUAGGCAAAUAAAGUGGUAAAUUAGCUCUGACCAGCUGUUGAUUAGGUGACCAAAUACCGGCGGUUGCUUGUUUGCUAAUUAAACUGCAUUGCUACAAUCUGUACUAUAAAAUAGCAGAGAAAUGUAUUUCUUUGAUUUUAAGCCAGAAAGACUCACGUUCAACAAACAUGUCAACUAACUGAGCUAACUACCAUGACAUAUAAAAUUUACCCCAUUUGCAUUCUGUAGACUUCGAAAAGGAUAUCAUGUCAUCGUUACAGAAAUCGAAUUCUUUUUUACUCCGCAAAUUGACAAUGGAAGCGAACUUUGGCUACCCGAGUUUAAUCAGGCACUUUUGCCGUACAGGACACGUACACGGAUGCAGCGCAGUGAAACAAAACGGAAUCCUUGCAAUUUGUCGUCUAAACAAUAAACCAAAUACUCGUAGAAGCCAGCAAAAAGCAAAUCAGCAAAAAUCGAGCUACAGCAACGUGCAGAUAUCAAAUCCGGACCGAGGCACUUCUGCGGUGUAGCCAAAUAGUAGACAAAUGCGACCACCAUGCGGAAUGGUCUACAGGCGAGGCGAGCUGGGUUAACGUUGUGUGCACUUUGGUUAAAAUGCACUUAAGAGGAACGACAGAGUUUUUGGAGCUGCUCUUCAAAAAGUUUCAAUAUGGAAAUCAUCAACUUGAACGAAAGUAUGUCAACAUGCAAUUAAAAACUGUCCGCCGGCAAUCAAGUGUCGCUUCUGUUGAAAUCUCUAACUUAAUUAAAAUUGAACAGUAUAAUGCCAGUCAAAAGACAUAUACAUUGAAUAUUGGAUCUUAUUAGCUGGCAGGCAACUCCAAUGCGAAUUUACACUUUACUCGAUUGCCGGCGUGCCAGACCAACAACAACCGGAAACAUAGUGAACACCACAGACACACCAACGUAAAUGUGGCUACGUGUCGGUUUCAAUGAAAUGAAAAUAUAAAAUAUGCAUUUACUGCAGCCCGCCUCCAGUUACAGAUAGUUGCCACCGGCUGCUGUUGGUGCUGCUGCUGCCCGGAUAAGUAUGCUAUGGGCAACGUGCUCUGCGUUGGGGAAUUGUGUCGAAUGUCAUGUGCGCCCCCCAUUCAAAUGCCAGCUGCAAAGUCUGCGCAGUUACUGCCCAAAACUGUGAUCCUUAUAUUUACCACCCAGACAACUAACGGGCGAAAGCUGCAUUGUUCGGUAGCCGAGCAGCGCACUCCAUAAUAAAUGUAACGAGCGUAUUACAAACACUUAUGUAUGGCAACUUUAAAGUGCAGACAUCACUCGUACAAGCAUGAGCAUAACUACUUGCAUAUGUAUAUAUAUAUAUAUAUAUAUAUAUAUAUAUACCCUGCAGCUGUAGAGAUAGAUAAAGCUGUCAAAUAUGUAUAUCCAGCAGACAAAAAAUGCACCUCUCACCUGACACGAAAUAUACAUAUGUUCACAUUUUAUAUCUAUGUAA